This 322-nucleotide ribosomal RNA is filed under the name Spegazzinia sp. CL115. RNAcentral describes it as "LSU rRNA". It matches the Rfam family "Eukaryotic large subunit ribosomal RNA", at positions 331 to 670 of the family's 3401-position model. Lineage: Eukaryota; Fungi; Ascomycota; Dothideomycetes; Pleosporales; Didymosphaeriaceae. The record is from RNAcentral.
AGACCGAUAGCGAACAAGUAGAGUGAUCGAAAGAUGAAAAGUACUUUGGAAAGAGAGUCAAAUAGCACGUGAAAUUGUUGUAGAGGAAGCGCUUGCAGCCAGACGUCCCCGUAGUCGCUCACCCGGUCUCCUGACCGGGGCACUCUUCUGCGGGGAGGCCAGCAUCAGUUUGGGCGGUCGGAGAAAGGCCUCUGUCACGUACCUCCCUCCGGGGAGGCCUUAUAGGGGAGGCGCAAUGCGACCAGCCCGGACUGAGGUCCGCGCAUCUGCUAGGAUGCUGGCGUAAUGGCUGUAAGCGGCCCGUCUUGAAACACGGACCAAG